AUGAAGUCCUUCAAGAAGGAAUUCACCCUGGAGGAGAGGGCGAAUGAGUCGGCCGCCAUGAUCGCCAAGUACCCCGGCAGGAUCCCCGUGAUUGUUGAAAGGUUUUCGAGGAGUAAACUUCCAGAAAUGGAGAAGAGGAAGUACCUGGUUCCGUGUGACAUGCCAGUUGGGCAGUUCAUUUUCAUCCUGCGCUCCAGGUUACAUCUGUCUCCAGGGACGGCGCUUUUCGUGUUUGUGCGCAACACCUUGCCCCAGACCGCUAACCUGAUGGGUAGCGUGUAUGAUUCGUACAAAGAUAAGCAGGAUGGCUUCCUCUACAUGUGUUACAGCAGCGAGAAGACAUUUGGGUGA
Molecule: ribosomal RNA, 351 nt
Filed under: Triticum aestivum (bread wheat)
Lineage: Eukaryota; Viridiplantae; Streptophyta; Magnoliopsida; Poales; Poaceae
Description: partial small subunit ribosomal RNA
Source: RNAcentral